RNAcentral lists this transfer RNA (75 nucleotides) under uncultured Clostridium sp. RNAcentral describes it as "tRNA-Thr(cgt)". It matches the Rfam family "tRNA". Rfam says of the family: Transfer RNA (tRNA) molecules are approximately 80 nucleotides in length. The record is from RNAcentral. Lineage: Bacteria; Bacillati; Bacillota; Clostridia; Eubacteriales; Clostridiaceae. RNAcentral also lists the same sequence under 1 other name.
GGCUGAAAUAGCUCAGUUGGUAGAGCACUUCACUCGUAAUGAAGGGGUCGUGGGUUCGAGUCCCAUUUUCAGCUU